Molecule: ribosomal RNA, 253 nt
Filed under: uncultured bacterium
Lineage: Bacteria
Description: partial 16S ribosomal RNA
Rfam family: Bacterial small subunit ribosomal RNA
Source: RNAcentral
UACGUAGGGUGCAAGCGUUGUCCGGAAUUAUUGGGCGUAAAGAGCGUGUAGGCGGCCAGGUAGGUCUGCUGUGAAAACUCGAGGCUUAACCUCGAGAUGUCGGCGGAAACCAUCUGGCUAGAGUCCGGAAGAGGAGAAUGGAAUUCCCGGUGUAGCGGUGAAAUGCGCAGAUAUCGGGAAGAACACCCGUGGCGAAGGCGGUUCUCUGGGACGGUACUGACGCUGAGACGCGAAAGCGUGGGGAGCGAACAGG